CCUACGGGAGGCUGCAGUGAGGAAUAUUGGUCAAUGGACGAGAGUCUGAACCAGCCAAGUAGCGUGAAGGAUGACUGCCCUAUGGGUUGUAAACUUCUUUUAUAUGGGAAUAAAAUGUUCCACGUGUGGGAUUUUGUAUGUACCAUAUGAAUAAGGAUCGGCUAACUCCGUGCCAGCAGCCGCGGUAAUACGGAGGGUCCGAGCGUUAUCCGGAUUUAUUGGGUUUAAAGGGAGCGUAGGUGGAUUGUUAAGUCAGUUGUGAAAGUGUGCGGCUCAACCGUAAAAUUGCAGUUGAAACUGGCAGUCUUGAGUACAGUAGAGGUGGGCGGAAUUCGUGGUGUAGCGGUGAAAUGCUUAGAUAUCACGAAGAACUCCGAUUGCGAAGGCAGUUCACUGGACUGCAACUGACACUGAGGCUCGAAAGUGUGGGUAUCAAACAGGAUUAGAUACCCGAGUAGUC
This 460-nucleotide ribosomal RNA is filed under the name uncultured bacterium. RNAcentral describes it as "partial 16S ribosomal RNA". It matches the Rfam family "Bacterial small subunit ribosomal RNA", at positions 338 to 795 of the family's 1533-position model. The record is from RNAcentral.